UGCAGAGUGCAGUCCUCUGACCACCAGCAUUGGCAUGUCAGACAUGCAGACACUCAAAGGCCCACACCAGAGCUACUGAGUCAGAAUCUAAUUUUUUACCAACAUCCUCCAGUUGUUUACAUCUGCACAUUAAAUUUUGAGAAGCAUAGGUCUCAUCAACUUCCUGCUUCAAAAGAUGAAAAUUCAGGCAGAUUCAACAGUGGGCUUCAGCUCCAGCUGGAACAUUUUAGGAUUAGAGGUGACUUCCUGUUAAAGAAUUAUCUUCAUUUGACUGAUCUAAUUUAUUUGUUGUUCCGAUAAAACCCUGGCUUAUUUCCCCUGCUUUGGAUACAGUUAUUGGAACUUUUGUGAAACCAGGUGAAUCCUGAUCCAAAUUAUGUACGAACUGAGCUCAGCUUUUGUCAAGGACCAAGAUCAUGGCAAAUCAGCCACAUUCACCGAGGCCACGUUUCUUCAGCUUAGAGUUAGCCUUAAUUUUGAACAAAGAACAUAGAAAUGGUGAGAUUGGACCAUCCACUUCAUUUCACAGGGAAGCAAAGUGAUGAAAGAAUUAUAUAAAUGUGAUUGUAACAAUGAUACUUUCAAAAAUAAAUGUAAAUUGUUAAGAAUCA
RNAcentral lists this long non-coding RNA (611 nucleotides) under Vulpes vulpes (red fox). RNAcentral's name for it is "lncRNA (ENSVVUG00000010801.1)". The record is from RNAcentral. Lineage: Eukaryota; Metazoa; Chordata; Mammalia; Carnivora; Canidae.